Molecule: ribosomal RNA, 253 nt
Filed under: uncultured bacterium
Lineage: Bacteria
Description: partial 16S ribosomal RNA
Rfam family: Bacterial small subunit ribosomal RNA
Source: RNAcentral
UACAGAGGGUGCAAGCGUUGUUCGGAAUUACUGGGCGUAAAGGGCGCGUAGGCGGUUGGAUAAGUCAGCUGUGAAAACCACGGGCUUAACUCGUGGCCUGCAGUUGAGACUGUCUGGCCUGAGUGUGGGAGAGGAGAGUGGAAUUCCUGGUGUAGCGGUGAAAUGCGUAGAUAUCAGGAGGAACACCGGUGGCGAAGGCGGCUCUCUGGACCACAACUGACGCUGAGGCGCGAAAGCUAGGGAAGCAAACAGG